ACCUUGAGAGCUGUAAGAGAACACACAUCGUCCAUCGUUUACCUCCUCUAUCUUUCACCCAGGCUUGAUGACCACAUGUGUAGCUGUGAUUCCAGGACUUUUAAGACCAUGGCCAAGAAAAUAAUUUUUCUCUUCAUCAUAGUCUUCUCACACCCCAGUCAUGCGGAGAUUGACCCAUCAUUUAAUGAUCAGCCCGAACCUCCAGAACAGCUCCAUACAGAUUGGAUGAGUCAGCUAAAUGAUGACAGGCUGCUUUCGGAAGUCACUAUCCCUGGGGCCCAUGAUGCAAUGGCUUUUGAUUGUAUAUAUUUGGCAGAAUGUCAGGCGUGGAAUUUAAAUAACCAGCUUUCAGCAGGGUUAAGAUACUUUGAUCUUAGAGUAGAUAACUCACUACGGCUGGUGCAUGGAAUUAUAAAAUUGGGUGUAAGGUUGGAAGAGGUACUUGUCACCAUAGUAGAAUUUCUAAAGGCACACAAAAAGGAAACAGUUUUAAUUAGGGUGAAGCCAAAACAAGGUCAGUUUCAAAGAGGGAACACUGCCUUUUCUAGGGCUAUGACAUUACUAAAAGGUAAUAUAAAUCCAUAUGUAUACAUG
Molecule: long non-coding RNA, 594 nt
Organism: Anguilla rostrata (American eel)
Lineage: Eukaryota; Metazoa; Chordata; Actinopteri; Anguilliformes; Anguillidae
Exons: 3
Source: RefSeq, a predicted model, not a curated record